Molecule: ribosomal RNA, 562 nt
Filed under: Xylaria bambusicola
Lineage: Eukaryota; Fungi; Ascomycota; Sordariomycetes; Xylariales; Xylariaceae
Also listed under: 2 other names
Description: eukaryotic LSU rRNA
Rfam family: Eukaryotic large subunit ribosomal RNA
Source: RNAcentral
AAACCAACAGGGAUUGCCCUAGUAACGGCGAGUGAAGCGGCAACAGCUCAAAUUUGAAAUCUGGCCUUCGGGUCCGAGUUGUAAUUUGUAGAGGAUGCUUUUGGCGCGGUGCCUUCCGAGUUCCCUGGAACGGGACGCCUUAGAGGGUGAGAGCCCCGUACGGUUGGACACCAAGCCUCUGUAAAGCUCCUUCGACGAGUCGAGUAGUUUGGGAAUGCUGCUCUAAAUGGGAGGUAAAUUUCUUCUAAAGCUAAAUAUUGGCCAGAGACCGAUAGCGCACAAGUAGAGUGAUCGAAAGAUGAAAAGCACUUUGAAAAGAGGGUUAAAUAGCACGUGAAAUUGUUGAAAGGGAAGCGUUUGCGACCAGACUUUUUCCUAGCGGAUCAUCCGGUGUUCUCACCGGUGCACUUUGCUAGGUUAAGGCCAGCAUCGGUUUCUGUAGGGGGAUAAAAGCUUGGGGAAUGUAGCUCCCUCGGGAGUGUUAUAGCCUCUUGCAUAAUACCCUUACGGGGACCGAGGACCGCGCUUUUGCAAGGAUGCUGGCGUAAUGGUUGUCAACGAC